Molecule: ribosomal RNA, 487 nt
Filed under: uncultured bacterium
Lineage: Bacteria
Description: partial 16S ribosomal RNA
Rfam family: Bacterial small subunit ribosomal RNA
Source: RNAcentral
GAUGAACGCUAGCGAUAGGCUUAACACAUGCAAGUCGAGGGGCAGCACAAGGUAGCUUGCUCUCUGGGUGGCGACCGGCGCACGGGUGCGUAACGCGUAUGCAACUUGCCCUAUACAGGAGGAUAACCCGUCGAAAGACGGACUAAUACUGCGUAUGCUCACAACUUGGCAUCAAGUGGUGAGGAAAGAAAUUCGGUAUAGGAUAGGCAUGCGUCCCAUUAGCUUGUUGGUGAGGUAACGGCUCACCAAGGCAACGAUGGGUAGGGGAACUGAGAGGUUUAUCCCCCACACUGGUACUGAGACACGGACCAGACUCCUACGGGAGGCAGCAGUGAGGAAUAUGGGUCAAUGGGCGCGAGCCUGAGCCAGCCAAGUCGCGUGAAGGAUGACUGUCUUAUGGAUUGUAAACUUCUUUUAUACGGGAAUAACAAGAGUCACGGGUGACUCCCUGCAUGUACCGUAUGAAUAAGCAUCGGCUAACUCCGUG